RNAcentral lists this ribosomal RNA (412 nucleotides) under Nanoglomus plukenetiae. RNAcentral describes it as "partial large subunit ribosomal RNA". Lineage: Eukaryota; Fungi; Glomeromycota; Glomeromycetes; Glomerales; Glomeraceae. The record is from RNAcentral.
AGAGUUAAACAGUACGUGAAAUUGUUGAAAGGGAAACGAUUGAAGUCAGUCGUGCUGGCGGGAAAUCAACUUCUCGAGUGCUUGUCGUGGAUGACGUUGAGCCUCACGGCCUUUGUUGUUUGCGUUAUGGUGCUUUUGAGGUGUACUUUUCCGUAUGGUAGGUCAACAUCGAUUUUGAUCGUCAUAAAAUGGCUGGUGGAAUGUAGCUUCGGUCUCGUACUGAAGUGUUAUAGCCUCUGGUAGAUGUGAUGACCGGGAUUGAGGAUUGCAACGAACCCUUCGGGGCCACCUGUCUGGCCUCUAGUGGUCUCUCUGGUGCUGAAAGCUCGCUUAUGGUCAUCAAAGUUGACGUUCAAUAGGUUAGAACGGGUUAAAUUCGUUAAGGAUGUUGACGUAAUGGCUUUAAACGACC